CCUACGGGAGGCAGCAGUGGGGAAUAUUGCACAAUGGGCGCAAGCCUGAUGCAGCCAUGCCGCGUGUGUGAAGAAGGCCUUCGGGUUGUAAAGCACUUUCAGCGGGGAGGAAGGCGGUGAGGUUAAUAACCUCAUCGAUUGACGUUACCCGCAGAAGAAGCACCGGCUAACUCCGUGCCAGCAGCCGCGGUAAUACGGAGGGUGCAAGCGUUAAUCGGAAUUACUGGGCGUAAAGCGCACGCAGGCGGUCUGUCAAGUCGGAUGUGAAAUCCCCGGGCUCAACCUGGGAACUGCAUUCGAAACUGGCAGGCUAGAGUCUUGUAGAGGGGGGUAGAAUUCCAGGUGUAGCGGUGAAAUGCGUAGAGAUCUGGAGGAAUACCGGUGGCGAAGGCGGCCCCCUGGACAAAGACUGACGUUCAGGUGCGAAAGCGUGGGGAGCAAACAGGAUUAGAUACCCGAGUAGUC
Molecule: ribosomal RNA, 465 nt
Filed under: uncultured Klebsiella sp.
Lineage: Bacteria; Pseudomonadati; Pseudomonadota; Gammaproteobacteria; Enterobacterales; Enterobacteriaceae
Description: bacterial SSU rRNA
Rfam family: Bacterial small subunit ribosomal RNA
Source: RNAcentral